RNAcentral lists this ribosomal RNA (474 nucleotides) under uncultured bacterium. RNAcentral describes it as "bacterial SSU rRNA". It matches the Rfam family "Bacterial small subunit ribosomal RNA", at positions 917 to 1382 of the family's 1533-position model. The record is from RNAcentral.
GGGCUCACACAAGCGGUGGAGCAUGUGGCUUAAUUCGAAGCAACGCGAAGAACCUGACCUGGGUUUGACAUGCAAGGAUUAGUUCUGUGAAAGCAGAAUGACGCGGCUUGCCGUGGAACUUGCACAGGUGCUGCAUGGCUGUCGUCAGCUCGUGUCGUGAGAUGUCGGGUUAAGUCCCCUAACGAGCGAAACCCUUGUCGCUAGUUGCUAACGGGUAAAGCUGAGCACUUUAGCGAGACUGCCGGUGUUAAACCGGAGGAAGGUGGGGAUGACGUCAAGUCCUCAUGGCCUUUAUGCCCAGGGCUGCACACGUGCUACAAUGGGAUGGUACAAAGCGACGCGAAGCCGCGAGGCGGAGCAAAUCGCAGAAAACUUCCCUCAGUUCGGAUUGCAGGCUGCAACUCGCCUGCAUGAAGCUGGAAUCGCUAGUAAUCGCGCAUCAGCUAUGGCGCGGUGAAUAUGUUCCUGAGCCUU